CUGACUUGAAAAUAAUUCUUAUUCGAAGAAAUUUAGACAAUAAAUAACAAGAAAAUUCUUUAAUUUAUUCGUCUAAUUUAUUAUUUGGCAACCAUUCAAAGAUUUCACAAAUAACAUAUUUGAGACCUACAUCUUAUUCAUUAACAAUUGCAUAUCUCGUUAUUUACGAACAUUAGUUUUUUUUUUUUGGUAUCGUUUAAAAUUAAACCGUUUAUUUUUAAACAAAAAAUGAAGGACAUCGGCAAUAUUUUGUUUUUAUGUAUGAGCUUUUUUUUGCAUUAUUUUUUCGUUUGUCAUUUAUCUUUUUUAGUAGCUGAUCUGGAAUUUAAAAACAAAAAUUUCCAUAAUUAAUUAAUUUAAAUAUUUCGUAUAUUUUUAUAUAAACAUUAUGGCUUCUACUGCAUCAGCCAAGAAUUUACUGAUCGCAAAAUCAGUAUUCCACAAGAUCCAUAUCGACAGAAAAGAAACCUGCAUACAAGGCUAAUAAAUAUCUU
This is a non-coding RNA of Schizosaccharomyces pombe (fission yeast), 494 nucleotides long. The record is from the annotation of a GenBank genome assembly. Lineage: Eukaryota; Fungi; Ascomycota; Schizosaccharomycetes; Schizosaccharomycetales; Schizosaccharomycetaceae.